Molecule: small RNA, 28 nt
Filed under: Bombyx mori (domestic silkworm)
Lineage: Eukaryota; Metazoa; Arthropoda; Insecta; Lepidoptera; Bombycidae
Description: ovarian small RNA-13331
Source: RNAcentral
CAGUAUCGGCAGGGAGGCCCCGGACAGC